AUGGAAGUUGCAGGAGGCCCAGGAGGCCUGGGUUUCCGGCUCCCUGCGACCCACCCCGGUCCCCCGUACCUGAGCCUCUCCAUCUCCACAGCCCCUGCGGUUCCCGUGGGCUACGGACCAGGCAUUGGUGAGGGCGGGAAGCUGCAGAAGCCAGUUUACAGGAAUGGGCUAGGAGCUGGAGUCUUCCCAGGCCAAGGGGCCCAGCCAGCCCUGGGAAGGGGCAUGAGCCCACUAAAGCCAGGUGAGCCCAUUCCCGCCCCUCCCCCACCUUGCCCUGAGGUUGCCGCUGCUGGAGCCCUCAUACCCGCUUUUCUCCUCAGGCUUUACUCCGGGACUGCAGUUCCCAGCAGCUCUGGGAGGAGGUGUGAAACCUCAAAAGCCAGGCAAGUGAGAGGACCCCACCCCACCCCCGUCUCUACCUACACCUCCACCUGCCUCCUUCUAGAACCCUCCUCACUAAAUUACUACCACUCAUAUCCCCGCUUUUUCUUUCCAGGAUAUGGCAACAGAAAUGGGGUGGGGGCCAAGCCAGGUCCCUGCCAUGGGAGGGUCCCUCCACUGCUUCUCCCCAGGCCUCCCACUUCGGGGUUCCCUUCUGCUAAAGGGGGCGGCGGCUGGGGCCCCAAAUCCCAGCCCUCUCCCCCAGGGCAGAAUGGCAAGUUCCCAGCACCGACUCCUGCCAUCCAGUGGGGGCUGAAACCUCAGAAAGCAGGAUACCAGCCCCUGAAUGGCUAUGGACUGGGAACAGAACUGGGAUUUGGUGGUGGCCUCAAGCCUCAGAAAGUUGGUUUUGCUUAUGGGAAUGGUCUGGGAGCUGGGGUCUUCCCUGAGGCCCACCUGCAGCCAGAGUUUCCCGGGGCCAAUGGCUUUAGGAAUGGGUAUGGGGAGGAAGCACCAGUGUACUCCAAAGCAGCAGUUCCAGGCUCUGAAGGAAAUGGUCAGGCCAAGGCCCUAAGGGGCUCUUCUUGGCCCUCCAUGCACCCUUGGGGGCUUGUCUUGAAGCCUGGAUAUGGGCCUGGUGGCACAUACCCAGGGGUCGGGAGCCAGCCAGCGACCUAUGGACAGCUAAGGCCAGAGCUGGGCCCUGGACCGUUUGGCAGCCCUCCAGUGAAGAGAGACAGCAGUGGCCCACUGCGAAAUGGCUAUGGAGGCCACUGUCCUCUUGGGAAAUGCUGAACACCGAGGCCCUUUCACUGCCCACCCUGACAGCCUCUCUACCACAGCCGUGUGUUGGGCGAGGAGGGCCAGAUCCUGGGGCUUGGCUGCUGGCCGGGGGUCUCCUGCGGGCUAAGAGUAUUAAUAAAGGUGGC
Long non-coding RNA from Neogale vison (American mink), 1310 nucleotides. Lineage: Eukaryota; Metazoa; Chordata; Mammalia; Carnivora; Mustelidae. The record is from Ensembl.